Molecule: long non-coding RNA, 368 nt
Organism: Erinaceus europaeus (western European hedgehog)
Lineage: Eukaryota; Metazoa; Chordata; Mammalia; Eulipotyphla; Erinaceidae
Exons: 2
Source: RefSeq, a predicted model, not a curated record
CUGGGGACAGGGGUGGCCGGGACAGGGGAGGCCGGGACAGGGGAGGCUGGGACAGGGGAGGUUGGGGACAGGGGAGGCUGGGACAGGGGAGGCUAGGGAGAGGAAGUUGGGGACAGGAGGCCAUGGCCAUGCGGUCCCGGAGGACUGGGGGCAGCACUGGAGACCCCAGAGCAGCGUCCACCAGCACCUGGUCAAGCCUCCUCCCUGAGUGGGGACACUGGGGGAACAGGAUCACCAGGACUUCUCUGCCUCCCAUGGGGUGGCCAAGGGGUGUUUCUGGACGUGGCCGGGUCCUGCAUGCGUAGACGGCUGGCCCCGGGCGUGGACGGUGGUCUCUGGGUGUGAAGCUGAAUAAACUUGUCCACUAA